This is a non-coding RNA of Deltaproteobacteria bacterium CG2_30_63_29, 223 nucleotides long. The record is from Rfam. Lineage: Bacteria; Deltaproteobacteria.
CGAAUCCCGCCCAGCUAGAGCUUAACGAGCAGGCUGGUAGCGAGUUUUGCGUGGUCGCCGGUAACGUCGGCUACGAAGCGUAAACAGCGAGCUGAUAGGCUGAGGGGUAAGCCCCGAAAUUCUUUUGAUUCCGAGGGCCGACAGUUUCCUUGGACUGGAAGGCAAGAGGAUAGGAGGUUUGGAUGAAACCACCAUGAAACUUGUUUGUGGGAGCCAGCGGGUG